Molecule: long non-coding RNA, 254 nt
Filed under: Homo sapiens (human)
Lineage: Eukaryota; Metazoa; Chordata; Mammalia; Primates; Hominidae
Description: non-protein coding lnc-CASC4-1:1
Source: RNAcentral
GCUGGGCAUGGUGGCGCAUGCCUGUAGUCCCAGCUACUCAGGAGGCUGAAGCAGGAGAAUUGCUUGAACCUGGGAGGAGGAGGUUGCAGUGAGCUGAGAUCGUGCCACUGCACUGCAGCCUGACGGCAGAGCAAGACUCAGUCUCAAGAAAAAAAAAGAAGACAGAGUCUUACUCUCUCACCUAGGCUGGAGUACAAUGGCACAGUCACAGUUUACUGCAGCCUUCACCUCCUGGGCUCAAGCGAUCCUCCUGC